GGAUUGGGAUAUUCCGACUCCUUAAGGGCCUGGCGCACAUAAGGUGUGACCUUUUCAUUCCCGUUGUUAUGGAGGGCCACAUCUGCCAGAGCCUGGAGUCUGCGAAGGCCGGGACCCGGUUCCCCGGCCCACAGUGGGGGUGUGCAAACCCGAGAGAACUGGAUUGCGUACCCACUGCAGAGUGCUGAAGACGGGGUAGCCACGAGGUUGCAAAUUCGUGAAGAAUCAGCAUCAUGUUUGGCAGCUGAGUAUUGGAGCCAGGAGCCUGCCAUGAGGUUUUGAGAACAGAGUGCUGUUUUAGAGCUGGCAGCAGCAUCUCAGCCCAAGAGAAGGUUAUAUUCCCAGAGGAUGUCAGUCCCAAGGACCAGUAGCUGCCAUCAGUUUGGAUUCUGAAAACUAACUGGCAUCAACACUGGGUGUAGAAACAUGCUUGCCUUAUGUAUCAGAGGACAUGCUCAGCAGAUCCAAGAGAUAUAUUUGGCAACUUUUUCUAGAAAAGGCACAUUGGGUAUCAUUCAUUACAUUCUUGAGUUUUUUUGGGUUUUUUUUUUUUUUUUUGAGACAGUCUUGCUGUAUUGCCCAGGCUGGAGUGUGGUGGCACAAUCACAGCUCAUUGCAUCCUCAAUCACCCAGGCCUAAGCAAUCCUCCCACCUUGUAGCUGGGACUACAGCUCACAGCACACCUGGCUAAAAUUUUUUUUUUGUUGAGACGGAUUCUCUAUGUUGCCCAGGCUGGUCUCAGGCUCCUGGGCUCAGAUGGUCCUCCUGCCUCAGCUUCCAAAGGCACAGGCCAAGUUGUAGCUUUGUCCCUUGCCAUCAUGCCCAACAAGAGGUUCUAUACCUUUUAAUGAAUUGACUUUCAUAAAUUGGUUAUGUUGGUGGGCAAAGUUCUUUAAGCUGGAAAUUGUAAAUUCCUCCUGAAAUGUUUUUUCAUGCAGUUACCAUGAACUAAUACUACAAUAAAGGAUGGUCUUGGGUGUCAAUUCUUGAAAAUGUG
This 997-nucleotide long non-coding RNA is filed under the name Homo sapiens (human). RNAcentral describes it as "small nucleolar RNA host gene 29". Lineage: Eukaryota; Metazoa; Chordata; Mammalia; Primates; Hominidae. The record is from RNAcentral.